Molecule: small nucleolar RNA, 80 nt
Filed under: Neocallimastix californiae
Lineage: Eukaryota; Fungi; Neocallimastigomycota; Neocallimastigomycetes; Neocallimastigales; Neocallimastigaceae
Source: RNAcentral
AAAUGAUGAAAACAUCAGAUAAAUAUAGCUGGAAUUACCGGCUGAAUGACAGUGUUGAAAAUAUCUGGGCACAUCUGAUA